CCCCUGAUCACAAGACGACAACUUUACCAUUGUUCCAAGGCUACCAUAACUCAUCCAUUUUUUUACAACAAAUGACAAAGACAACAACUUUGAAUGUCAAAAGUUAGAAACAGGGAACUUACCCAUAGAUACUUCCUACUAGGCUGACCAUCUAUCUAUGUACAUAAAAAAAUCAAAAAAUUAUCUUAUACAUAUAUAGUUAACACCAUCCUUUCCCCUAGACGACAACUUUACCGUUGUACCAAGGCUACCAUAACUCAUCCAUUUUUCUACAAUAAUGACAAAGACAACAACUUUGAAUGUCAAAAGUUAGAAACAGGGAACUUACCCAUAGAUACUUCCUACUAGGCUGACCAUCUAUCUAUGUACAUAAAAAAAUCAAAAAAUUAUCUUAUACAUAUAUAGUUAACACCAUCCUGCUGCCCCCCCGAUCACAAGACGACAACUUUACCGCCGUUCCAAGGCUACCAUAACUCAUCCAUUGUUCAAUAACAAAUGACAAAGACAACAACUUUGAAUGUCAAAAGUUAGGGAAAAGGGAACUUACCCAUAAAUACCUCCUGCUAGGUUGACCAAUCAAAGCAUACUGAUAAUCCUCAUCAAUAUACAAAACCCAAUAAUCACCACGAUCACAAGACGACAACUUUACCGCCGUUCCAAGGCUACCAUAACUCAUCCACUUGUCAAUACAAAUGACAAGACAACAACUUUGAAUGUCAAAAGUUAGGAAAAGGGAACUUACCCAUAAAUACCUCCUGCUAGGUUGACCAAUCAAAGCAUACUGAUAAUCCUCAUCAAUAUACAAAACCCAAUAAUCACCAGUUACAGGAAUAAUAGGCAAAAAUGGUGGAACAUAAAACCUGACUUUCAAUUUUGCCUCAUCACUAUUAGGAUCAGCCUUAUAAGCAGUGCCUUCAAUAAACC
RNAcentral lists this long non-coding RNA (924 nucleotides) under Solanum tuberosum (potato). Its description in RNAcentral is "long non-coding RNA (STUB_LNC011117)". Lineage: Eukaryota; Viridiplantae; Streptophyta; Magnoliopsida; Solanales; Solanaceae. The record is from RNAcentral.